GGCCAAAGAGCCCACGGUGCAGCUGGCUGGCUGCUUCUGCUUCCCAGGAGAGGAGGAUCCUGUCCUGGGGACUGUUUCCUCUUUCCUGAACCCUCAACCCUCUCUGUGUCCAGCUGGGAGUGUGCUCAGAGGGCAGCUUGCACAAUCUCAGGCCAGGAAAGGCCUAGCCGUGGGACAGCCCCCACUGGGCCAAGGACCUGAGGACUUGAGCAGCUGAAGUGGGACCCAGGGCCACAGUGAAGCCUUCUCCCGGGGAAAUAGGAAGAGAGGCUGGUGUUCUCCUCCAGCAAGGCCAAACCUGUCUCCCUAGCCUUUGGGGAGAGUCCCUGGGAGCCAGCUCUCCAAUGUGAAUGGUCAUGACGUGAGCAAGGUCUUGAAAUGUUCUUCUGUGGUGGCCUUCCCACAUGUGUCGUGUGAAGACGGGCGACAGGCAGCAUGGUGGCCCAAAGUGAAGAGACACAGAGGUAGACGAACCAGCGGUCUGGAGCGAAGUCGGGCUGUGUGAGCCUGCACCUGCCAGACCUGUGCCCCCAGGAUACCCUGUGGGGUUACCGUAGCUUCCAAAUGCUGGCAUUACAGCUGUAUGCUACCAUGUCCAUCUGGCAACUUGAUCAUAGUGAAACCGGACCCUACUGUUUCCUGUCAGCUGUCUUCAACGGAUGCUUCUCCUCAUGGUCCAAGGUGACUGCUGGUGCUCCCACCGUUAAGCAAGACAGAGUAAAGGUCAAUGCAACUCAUGCCCAGCUUUGGAACAUUUCCUUAAAUUGCAUACUUCGUGCUUUUUUUUCUGUCAAACUAGCUAGAAGUUAGUCACGAGGUCUUAUGUAAUUGUUCUAAUAGAAAAUGUGCCCGGGUAAAUCUUGGAGAUUCACUCCUGAGCCCAUCCAGUUCCCCUACCUAGAUUAAGAGCUCCAAGCAGUUUGCCAGAAUUUGUGCAGAGCCUCCAGCCUCCUCCAGAGGGUGCCAGAAACCUCUGCUUCCUCAGCCUCCAGAUUUCCGGUGUUUUUUUUAGCUUCAGAGGUGUGGGGCUCUUUGUUGGUUAGAUUUUUUUGAAGGCUGAGCGCUGGUGUGGCAGCUGAGCUCUCACAUUUGGAUCCAAAGCAGGAGACGGAGAGAACUAACUGGAAAACGCAUGAGUCUUUUGGAACCUCAAAACCCGCCCCCAAUAGCACGCCUCCUCCAGCAAGGCCACACCUCCUAAUCCUCUCCAAACAGCCCCAACUGGAGACCAAAUAUUCAAAUACCAGAGACUUAUGGGGAACAUGUCAUUCAAACCAACCCAAUGACAUACAAUCGGGAGUAGAGAAAACCAGACCCAAACAGGCCUGCAAAGAAAGCUACCAUCGGGCGGGAAGAGCGCCUCGGGAUGCUCUUCUGGCAGUUGGCCCUGACCAUUUUGCAUAAAGAUGAGCUGGUCACCAGACCAAUACUAGACAGUGAAGGAGAAAGAGUAGAGAGAGAAGGAUUCUGGAAUGAACGGUGAGCUGGGUAUAGAAGUGUACUCCUGUAACUCCAGCACUCAGAGGUUGGAGGCAGGCGGAUUGGGAGUUCAAACAAGCAAGCAUGAUAGUUCGUGCCUAGUUGAGAUUUUGAGACCAGCUGAGGGGCUGGGGGGCAGAGACAGAGAGAGACAGAGAGAGAGACAGAGACAGAGAAUCAUGGGCUUGAGGUGUGCAUGUACAAGGUCCUAGAUGUACAGCACUACACAUACACACACACACACACACACACACACACACACACACACACAGAACCUGGUGUGGCCCUGGCAGCAUUUUGAGCAUGGUACAUGGAGGACAUGGACCUCUGAACCAGCUUGUAGUAUCAUCUCCGCUCACAGGAAGCUGAAUCACACAGUGGUAAAGAAACUGGAGCUGGAGGUUUGUGCAGCAGCCGGGUGGGGAUGGAAUGUGGACACAGGCAGCCAUUUCCUGAGCCCAGCUCUGAACCACCCAGCUACACUGCCUGCUUAAAAAAAUAAAAAUAAAAAACCUGUAAACAAAAGGUGAACAAGCUGAUGCAAACAGAUAAUACGAAUUACAAAAAGGAGUGUGUGAAAAGGGGAAGUUUUAAUGUUACUAUAUUCACAAAACAGGAAAGCAGCUAUGGAAGAGAGAGCAAACGCAAGCCGUGGAGAUUUUAAUUAGAAUAGCUAAAAUAAAAGGAAAUUAAAUAGAAAGAAAAUGAAAUUCUGUGGUUAGGGUUUCCAAAAUUAAUCCACGCUUCCUUUUUCUAAUUGUAUUAUUAGCAUGCACUUGUGUGUGUGUGUGUGUGUGUGUGUGUGUGGUGUGUGUGUGUGUGUGUGUAUGUGUGUGUGUGUGUGUGUGUAUGUGUGUGUGUGUGUGCCUGUGAGUUCAGAGGACAUCUUUGUGGUGUUAGUUCACUC
Peromyscus leucopus (white-footed mouse) is the source of this 2386-nucleotide long non-coding RNA. RefSeq lists it as uncharacterized. The record is from RefSeq and is a predicted model, not a curated record. The transcript has 3 exons. Lineage: Eukaryota; Metazoa; Chordata; Mammalia; Rodentia; Cricetidae.